CAGGUAGCUGGGUCCAGGGGCAGGCAGAAGGUCAUACACAGGAGGAGGCAGGUAGCUGGGUCCAGGGGCAGGCAGAAGGUCAUACACAGGAGGAGGCAGGUAGCUGGGUCCAGGGGCAGGCAGGAGGUCAUACACAGGAGGAGGCAGGUAGCUGGGUCCAGGGGCAGGCAGGAGGUCAUACACAGGAGGAGGCAGGUAGCUGGGUCCAGGGGCAGGCAGGAGGUCAUACACAGGAGGAGACAGGUAGCUGGGUCCAGGGGCAGGCAGAAGGUCAUACACAGGAGGAGGCAGGUAGCUGGGUCCAGGGGCAGGCAGAAGGUCAUACACAGGAGGAGGCAGGUAGCUGGGUCCAGGGGCAGGCAGGAGGUCAUACACAGGAGGAGGCAGGUAGCUGUGUCCAGGGGCAGGCA
Molecule: long non-coding RNA, 410 nt
Organism: Oncorhynchus tshawytscha (Chinook salmon)
Lineage: Eukaryota; Metazoa; Chordata; Actinopteri; Salmoniformes; Salmonidae
Source: Ensembl